Molecule: long non-coding RNA, 2555 nt
Filed under: Setaria italica (foxtail millet)
Lineage: Eukaryota; Viridiplantae; Streptophyta; Magnoliopsida; Poales; Poaceae
Description: long non-coding RNA (SITA_LNC007044)
Source: RNAcentral
AGCGUGCUAGUGUUUAGCAGCAGCAGCAGCAGCAGGAGGUGAUGCUAACCUAUAUGAGAGAUCGAACGCUUUAGAUGAUGGUACUCCAUUCAUUCUAAAUUAUAGAUAUUUUGAUUUUUCUAAGUUCAUAGCUUUUGCUAUACAUCUAGAAUGUACUCUAUGUCUAGGUGUAUAUCAAAAUAUAUGAACUUAGGAUACCAAAACGACCUAUAAUUUGGGACGAAACGGAGGAAGUAUUAGAUUAGUAGUAUUUCAGCUUUGUAGUAUAGUUGCCUGCUGUAAGUCAUGUCUGGAUUGAUGACUGCGGAUGUUUGUCUUUUGGGGCUAAUUCAGGUGUUAGUGGUGUGGUUAGCUAGAGCCUAGAGCCUAGUAUAGUCGUUGAUUUACUUGUAAGCAAAGUGAUUUCAUGGAACAGUAAAGCUAAAGCAGAGUGAAAUCCAUGGAGCCUUCACUUAGAGGGGUCGUUUAGCUGCACGCCUGCACAUUCAAACUGUGCAAUGGUGAUAUGCAAACAGAGGAGCUGAAGAAAUUUAAGGUGAUACUGCUAUUAUAUCUUACAGUUAAUAAGGCCCACUGUUCACUGAUGCCAGAAACUUUGAGCUGAUUCUCUUUUUCUGAAGGAAAAACUACAAAAUAUUGGGCUGUCAUUCUGCCUGCACCAUCUGGCCUUUGGCAUUUUGGGCCAAAUUGUUUUCUCCACUUGGCCUAACUCCAGCCCAAUUUGGGUCGCACACUCUUCAGCGUCUUCUAUUCUAUGGCCGCCUGGCCGGAGAUCCCUUUCCUCCGCCACUCCAAAUGCUAUGCGCCUUCCCGCCUUCCUCGCCGACCAGCGCCGCCUCCGCUGCGUCCUCUCCUCCUCCAGCGCCACGCUCGCGACGCUCACCCGCCUCCACGCCCUCCUCAUCGUCUCCUCCUCCCACCAUCUCCUCGCAUCCCUCGCGGCCUCCUACGCCCGCGCCGGCGCGCUCGACGCCGCGGAGUCCACCCUCGUGAACUCCCCCGCCUCCCCUUCCUCAAUAGCCGCCUGGAACGCGCUCCUCGCCGCGCACUCCCGGGGCGGCUCCCCUGGCACCGCGCUCCGCGUCUUCCGCGCCCUCCCGCCCGCCGCGCGCCCCGACAGCACCACCUUCACGCUCGCGCUCUCCGCGUGCGCGCGCCUCGGGGACCUCGCCGCCGCGGAAAACAUCAAGGACCGCGCGUUCGAGGCCGGUUACAGAAAGGACGUAUUUGUUUGCUCGGCGCUGCUCCAUCUCUAUUCAAGAUGCGGCUCCAUGGGGGGCGCCGUCAAGGUUUUCGAUAGAAUGCCGAGGAGGGACCGUGUAGCGUGGAGCACGAUGGUUGCUGGGUUCUUGAGCGCUGGGAGGCCUCUGGAGGCGCUUGAUAUGUACAUGAGGAUGAGGGAGGAUGGCGUGGAGGGGGACGAGGUGGUCAUGGUUGGGGUUAUACAAGCCUGCGCGGCAGUGGGGAAUGCCCAAAUGGGGGCCUCAGUUCAUGGGUAUCUACUGCGGCAUGGUAUGAGGAUGGAUGUUUUUACAUCAACUAGCCUUGUGGACAUGUACGCCAAGAACAGGCAGUUUGAUGUGGCACGCCGAGUGUUUAGAAUGAUGCCUUACAGGAAUGCUGUCUCAUGGAGCGCGCUGAUUUCUGGGCUUGCACAGAACGGGCAUGCAGAUGAGGCACUUGACUUGUUCAGAGAGAUGCAGGUUUCUGGGCUUCAGCCUGAUUCAGGAGCACUUGUUAGUGCGCUGCUAGCUUGUGCUGAUAUGGGACUCCUGAAGCUAGGGAAGUUGAUACAUGCUUUCAUCCUAAGGAGGCUUGAGUUUGACUGUAUUUUGGGCACAGCAGUCAUUAACAUGUACUCAAAAUGUGGCUCCCUAGCAAGUGCUCAAAUGCUUUUCAGUGGGGUUGGCUCGGGAGACUUGGUUUUCUGGAAUGCAAUGAUUGCGUGUUAUGGUGCUCAUGGACGAGGUCGUGAUGCUCUGGCUCUGUUCCAAGAAUUGAAUGAUACAGGAAUAAGGCCUGACCAUGCCACAUUUGCUUCUCUUCUGUCUGCUCUAAGCCACUCUGGUCUUGUGGAGGAAGGCAAAUUCUGGUUUGAUCGCAUGAUUAAGGAGUUUGGCAUUGAACCUGCAGAGAAGCACUAUGUAUGUAUAGUUGAUCUUUUAGCACGUUCCGGUCUUGUGGAAGAAGCCAACGACAUUCUAGCAUCAAUGCAAACUGAACCGACCAUUGCAAUUUGGGUCGCUCUGCUUUCAGGUUGCUUGAAUAACAAGAAGGUAGAGAUUGGAGAAACUAUAGCAGAAAAGAUCCUUGAGUUGCAACCUGAAGACAUAGGUGUCCUUGCGCUGGUCUCAAAUCUCUAUGCUGCUGCAAAGAAGUGGGACAAGGUCAGGGAGGUUAGGAAGCUAAUGAAGAAUAGCGGCAGCAGGAAAAUACCUGGCUAUAGCUUGGUCGAGGUGCGUGGAACACGUCACUCGUUUGUGAUGGAAGACCAGAGCCACCCUCAGCACCAGGAGAUCCUGAAAAUGGUCGCGAAGCUUGAUUCCGAGAUGAAG